GCUAUAAUAAUUUAAUUAAAAUAUUGGUCUUGUAAACCAAAAAUAAAUCUUCUUUUUUAGCU
RNAcentral lists this transfer RNA (62 nucleotides) under Curculionidae sp. BMNH 1040049. RNAcentral's name for it is "tRNA-Thr". It matches the Rfam family "tRNA". Rfam says of the family: Transfer RNA (tRNA) molecules are approximately 80 nucleotides in length. The record is from RNAcentral. Lineage: Eukaryota; Metazoa; Arthropoda; Insecta; Coleoptera; Curculionidae.